RNAcentral lists this long non-coding RNA (1064 nucleotides) under Mus musculus (house mouse). Its description in RNAcentral is "predicted gene, 19554". The record is from RNAcentral. Lineage: Eukaryota; Metazoa; Chordata; Mammalia; Rodentia; Muridae.
AGUCUUCUGCUAGCAGCCUUCAGGUGAAGAUGGCGAACUCUCAGCUCCUGCUGCACCAUGCCUGCCUGGAUGCUGCCAUGUUCCCGCCUUAAUGAUAAUGGACUGAACCUCUGAACCUGAAGCCAUCAUCCAUGCUGGUUAAAGACUUUGCAGUGCAGCGGCAUUUGGGUCAUCCACUUCCUGUCAGUGACCCCCCUCCCAUGGAGGCAGAAGCAGGAGGCUCUCAGAGUUCGAGGCUAGCAUGGUCUACGCGUAACAAGUUCCAGGCCAGCCAGGGCUACCGAAUAGAGAUCCUGUCUCAAAACCACAACAGCAAAGUGAGUACGGACUGAUCUAGGCAAGCGGAUACCCAGUGCCCUCAGGCCGUGAGCCGUGUUCAGCAGGUACCCGUUGCCUCCGAGAAAACGUGGGCGUGAAUGAAGAAGAGGUGGGCGUGGUGGAUCUGGAAGGAGGAUUCUCAGGACGUGUGUUGGCUGAGUGCAUGGGUCCAAGCCCCCGUAUGUUCUGUGCUGGGCGGAACAGUCUGAGCUUUAAGACCCACAGGGUAUGUGGGUCAUACAACCCCUAGCUGCCCUAGACUUUGGGGGAUGUAUCUCUCAUGUACCCUGUCAUGUGCCCUGUCAUGUGCCCUGUCUCAUGCCCUAGACUUUGGGGGAUGUAUCUCUCAUGUGCCCUGUCAGGAAACCUCUUGGUCUCAGGCUCCUGUGAGUCACGUGAUCCAUGGACCAUGAGUGGACUGGAGGACGAAGACUGGUUAUUUCAAGCUCAUUGGACCCAGCCUGGGGAAGAGUAGGAGGUAGGGUCUAGAAUGGGCAGUGUGCAGGCUAAGCAGUGGAGUCUGGACCCUGUGGGUCCUGCCAGGUAUCUGCAGGCAGACCGUGGACUUGUGUAUCUACAGAGAUAACAGCUGCCCCCCUCGAUCUGUCCCCUGUCAUACUAUUAACCUUUAUCAUUCAAGGUCAUAUUCGUCCUUCUAUGUCCUACCGAGGAGCUUUUGAAAGGCAAGUUCCAUCUUGGCAUGUCUGGCACACAGUAGGUUCUUAAUAAACAUGUCUAUCAAAUGG